AGCGAACGCUGGCGGCAGGCUUAACACAUGCAAGUCGAGCGGGCAUCUUCGGAUGUCAGCGGCAGACGGGUGAGUAACACGUGGGAACGUACCCUUCGGUUCGGAACAACUCUGGGAAAAUUGAGCUAAUUCCGGAUAAGCCCUUAUGGGGAAAGGUUUACUGCCGAAGGAUCGGCCCGCGUCUGAUUAGCUAGUUGGUGGGGUAACGGCCUACCAAGGCGACGAUCAGUAGCUGGUCUGAGAGGAUGAUCAGCCACACUGGGACUGAGACACGGCCCAGACUCCUACGGGAGGCAGCAGUGGGGAAUAUUGGACAAUGGGCGCAAGCCUGAUCCAGCCAUGCCGCGUGAGUGAUGAAGGCCUUAGGGUUGUAAAGCUCUUUUGUCCGGGACGAUAAUGACGGUACCGGAAGAAUAAGCCCCGGCUAACUUCGU
This 434-nucleotide ribosomal RNA is filed under the name uncultured bacterium. RNAcentral describes it as "partial 16S ribosomal RNA". It matches the Rfam family "Bacterial small subunit ribosomal RNA", at positions 29 to 506 of the family's 1533-position model. The record is from RNAcentral.